This is a long non-coding RNA of Carassius auratus (goldfish), 3125 nucleotides long. RefSeq lists it as uncharacterized. Lineage: Eukaryota; Metazoa; Chordata; Actinopteri; Cypriniformes; Cyprinidae. The transcript is spliced from 3 exons. The record is from RefSeq and is a predicted model, not a curated record.
AAAUGCCAAAAAUAAUGUCUGGGUCUAUAUAAAGUUAAUCGCAUGGGUCAGACAAUGCCGAGUCAUAAAGAAAGGGAUUUAAUUUGUCUUUAAGAGGACCAAAGAUCACAUUGCAGUGCUUAAUCUGCUAUACCUGUUAUUUUUCCAAAUUAAGACAGAAUGGAACAAAAUUCCUACAGGUCUAAGGCUUGUGCAACAGGGUAUGUUCUCAAAAUCGACAAGUUGAGGGCUGCUUGAUGGAAGCUUUUACAUUAGACAUAUUCUUAUGUUCAGCAACUAGACAGCAUAAAAGAAUUGAAUGCUGGGAUCUGAAAAUUCACAUGAUAGCCAAGAUGUAGCUUCUUCAGAGUGCUAUAUCAUACUUUCAGGGGAAAAAAAUAAAAUACAGAGAGGAUGCAUUACAUUUAUCAGAAGUGACAGUAAUAACAUUUAUAAUGCCACGAAAGAUUUGUAUUUCAUAUAAAUGUCAUUCUUGUGAACUUGAUUCAUCAAAGAAUCGUGAAAAAUUAUAUCAUGAUCUUAAGUAAAUCAGCAUAAUUUAUUUCAUUCGUCAUUCGACACUGGAGACUGGAGUAAUGCCUGCUGACAAAUUCAGCGUUCCCAUCACAGGAAUAAAUUAAUAAAUUCAGCCUUGGUGAACAUAAGAGACACUUCAUGACUCAUCCAGGUCAGUGUUAAAAUGGUACAAGUGAAUCAGAGGAUUCUGGCUUUUCUACAACAGAGUUAAGUUUAUCUAAGAAGCAUUUAAUGCAUUAUUUGUCUAACAAUCAUGGGACUGAGUUUAUUUUGCAGAUAAUUAUGGCUUUUGUUGAGCUGAUGGUCAGGAUAAGCAUGUGUUCCGAGCCAUUAAAUUGUGCGCUUGUUCUGGAAGCGGCUAUACUUGUUUUGGUGUAGUUGAAACCAAAAACACUAGGGGAUUCCACACAUUAGCCCUGCCUAGUUUAUCCACAGGUGUUUCACUUUGGACUACUGAGACGUCACUAACCUGCAUAACAGUAGAGUACUGAAAAUCUCUUUCAGUACAGAGACGCCACAUAGAACAGUGCAUUUUUAUAUAUGUUAAGUAUAAAUAAUUGUUUACAAUAAUGUUAAGGGACAGUUUACCAAAUAAAUCAAAAAUUUUCUCUCCCAUAUGUUGUUUCAAAUAUAUCUGAGCUUAAUUAUUCUGUGGAGCACAAAAGACAGUGUCCAAUAUUACCCAUAAUGUCCACAUUGCCCAUACCGUCCAAUUGUCCAUCCAAUUAAAGUCAAUGGGGUCCAGAGUUGAUUUGGACCCCAUUGACUUUCAUUGUUUGUAAAAAAAAAAUAUAAUUCGAAAUAUCUUCGUUCGUGUCCCACAGAAGAAAAAAAAGUUAUACAGGUUUGGAAAGAGGGUGAGUCAAUGAUGAUCUUACUGUUAGUCCAAAUGAACCACCAAACAUUACCAAAUAAAAACUGCUGGAUCACAGAGGGGAAGUAACAGUUCCUAUAAAGAACACCAGAUUAUGGACAUCUGCUGAAUCCUCUAGAACUGAACACUCAGAAGUGGCCUACAAGAUCAAAAUGAAUACCAUUAUUAAGAUUUCUUUAUUUCUUUUAGUGAAUUCAGUGCAAAAAUACAAAAAGCAUGGGCAAAUUGCCAAUCAACCACACUAUAAUCAGCAGACGCCAAUUCAUUUUUAACAGCUGUCCUCAGAGUCAAGAUGAAUCCAAACCAGAAGCAAAGUAUUUGUUUCCCUUUCCUGAAGAGUUGCUAAUUCUGAUGGGCAAGUUUCUUUCUUGGGCAUGUGACAAUUGCUAUUAACAUACCGCCCUUUCCUUUUGUGUCUGAAAUAUAACUGAUAAGAAUGGCCCGGGCUGAUGCUGCUGGAAUCCCCCCGUGCAUCCUGCACUGUUGAUUCCGGAACGACCGGGGCGGUGAUCAUGGCACUUGGCAUAAUAUAUCACUUUCCCGAGAGCUACACAGAUGAUGCCUUUCCUUUUGGAAACCAGAGACUGGUCUGUCUGAAGUCUUGGGGUUCAGCGGCACCAGACAUCCUCCAGUCCAGUAUGGGACGCUCAAAUAGAGACCAUACCUAAUCUGAAGCUGCCAUUCUCCCCGCGCCGCAGAUUUUUACACAUGCAAAAUGGAUAUCAGAGCGCCUUGGCUGCUUGACAACACCAGCCUCUCUAACAAAGAGAGACUGGAGAGGAAAAUGAAUGAAAAUGAGAAAAGGACAGUGAGAGUCAAGGCGAUGCCCUGGACAGUUCAAAGGGUGCAUUCCUAGCAUUUGACAGAGGGUAAAUGAUGCAUUUCAACUCGAAUCUAUUUCCUCUGUUUCAACGAAGUCAACCAUGAAUAAUACAGACUCGCUUGAGAUGUUGUUAAGUGGUCUCAAGACACUAAAAGAUAAAAAAAAAUUAAAAACAAGUUGAACAUAUGCAAGUGAAAUCUUUUAAGCUGCUUUUAAGUCAAAAUAAAACAGACACAAAUGUAAUGGCAAACACCUGAUACCUGUAUACAAUUAGCAUGAUUUUCACAGAAGAGUGUUUUUGCUGAUCAUGUAAGCAAUUCAUACAAUUUACAAUUAUUCUUAAAUACAUUAAACAUUAGCAAUACAUUCUACUUCUGUGAUGUAGAGUGAAAAAAAACUUUGGGGAACUUGACCUUCCAGGUCACACUGGAGCUUCUACCUGAGUGUGGACAUAUGAGCAUGGAAGUUGAAAAUCGUUUCAAUGUAUACUAAGGAUAACACUUCUUUUUCAAAUCUAUUGCUAUUUGCUACCACUGCUGUAAUCUUUAUUAUGUAGGUAAACUGAGAUUUGAUUACUGUUGGAAAGGUUGCAUUAUCUAAACCAAUACCUAAAUUUGGGUAUUUGGCAACAAAAAAAAAAAAAAUUCACUGCAAGCACAUACUUACUUAUGGAAGCUGAAAAGAAAGGUCAUUUUAUCAAGAAGCAGUGACCCUACACUAUGAGGAAAAACAAAGUUUGGAUAUUUAUUUAAUAGCAAAACUACAUGAAUAAACAGGAAACAGUUGAAAUGUUGUUAUUCAUUGUUGUUCAUCUUUAAAAGCAGUUAUUCACAGAUCUUUAGAAGCAGAUGUGUUGCCUUAAAAAAAGCAAUCCAUAUUUCCUGUAUUUAAACACAAGCAUGCAGGUGUUGU